Molecule: ribosomal RNA, 632 nt
Filed under: uncultured bacterium
Lineage: Bacteria
Description: bacterial SSU rRNA
Rfam family: Bacterial small subunit ribosomal RNA
Source: RNAcentral
GAAAGAUUCAUCGGAAGAGGAUGGGCAUGCGGCGCAUUAGCUUGACGGCGGGGUAACGGCCCACCGUGGCGACGAUGCGUAGGGGUUCUGAGAGGAAGGUCCCCCACACUGGUACUGAGACACGGACCAGACUCCUACGGGAGGCAGCAGUGAGGAAUAUUGGUCAAUGGGAGAGAUCCUGAACCAGCCAAGCCGCGUGAGGGAAGACGGCCCUAUGGGUUGUAAACCUCUUUUGUCGGAGAACAAAACCCGGGACGUGUCCCGGACUGCGUGUAUCCGAAGAAAAAGCAUCGGCUAACUCCGUGCCAGCAGCCGCGGUAAUACGGAGGAUGCGAGCGUUAUCCGGAUUUAUUGGGUUUAAAGGGUGCGUAGGCGGUCCGUUAAGUCAGCGGUAAAAUUGCGGGGCUCAACCCCGUCGAGCCGUUGAAACUGGCAGACUUGAGUUGGCGAGAAGUACGCGGAAUGCGCGGUGUAGCGGUGAAAUGCAUAGAUAUCGCGCAGAACUCCGAUUGCGAAGGCAGCGUACCGGCGCCAGACUGACGCUGAGGCACGAGAGCGUGGGGAUCGAACAGGAUUAGAUACCCUGGUAGUCCACGCAGUAAACGAUGAAUGCUGGUUGUCCGGGUCGAAUG